Molecule: ribosomal RNA, 360 nt
Filed under: Escherichia sp. I6
Lineage: Bacteria; Pseudomonadati; Pseudomonadota; Gammaproteobacteria; Enterobacterales; Enterobacteriaceae
Description: bacterial SSU rRNA
Rfam family: Bacterial small subunit ribosomal RNA
Source: RNAcentral
UGAGACAGGUGCUGCAUGGCUGUCGUCAGCUCGUGUUGUGAAAUGUUGGGUUAAGUCCCGCAACGAGCGCAACCCUUAUCCUUUGUUGCCAGCGGUCCGGCCGGGAACUCAAAGGAGACUGCCAGUGAUAAACUGGAGGAAGGUGGGGAUGACGUCAAGUCAUCAUGGCCCUUACGACCAGGGCUACACACGUGCUACAAUGGCGCAUACAAAGAGAAGCGACCUCGCGAGAGCAAGCGGNNCUCAUAAAGUGCGUCGUAGUCCGGAUUGGAGUCUGCAACUCGACUCCAUGAAGUCGGAAUCGCUAGUAAUCGUGGAUCAGAANGCCACGGUGAAUACGUUCCCGGGCCUUGUACACAC